CGCGGGGUAGAGCAGUUGGCAGCUCGUCGGGCUCAUAACCCGAAGGUCGUUGGUUCGAAUCCAGCCCCCGCCA
Molecule: transfer RNA, 73 nt
Filed under: Cetobacterium somerae ATCC BAA-474
Lineage: Bacteria; Fusobacteriati; Fusobacteriota; Fusobacteriia; Fusobacteriales; Fusobacteriaceae
Rfam family: tRNA
About the family: Transfer RNA (tRNA) molecules are approximately 80 nucleotides in length.
Source: Rfam by way of RNAcentral